AAUCAACGCUGGCGGCGUGCCUAACACAUGCAAGUCGAGCGCGAAAGGGGAGCAAUCCCCAAGUAGAGCGGCGAACGGGUGAGUAACGCGUGGGUAAUCUGCCUCCGAGUGGGGAACAACACCGGGAAACUGGUGCUAAUACCGCAUGACAUCGUUGGACCUUCGGAUCUGACGAUCAAAGCCGGGGACCGCAAGGCCUGGCGCUUGGAGAGGAGCCCGCGUCCGAUUAGCAGUUGGUGGGGUAAUGGCCCACCAAGGCUACGAUCGGUAGCCGGCCUGAGAGGGCGGACGGCCACACUGGGACUGAGACACGGCCCAGACUCCUACGGGAGGCAGCAGUGGGGAAUUUUUCGCAAUGGGCGAAAGCCUGACGAAGCAACGCCGCGUGGAGGAUGAAGGCCUCGGUCGUAAC
Molecule: ribosomal RNA, 412 nt
Filed under: uncultured bacterium
Lineage: Bacteria
Description: bacterial SSU rRNA
Rfam family: Bacterial small subunit ribosomal RNA
Source: RNAcentral